RNAcentral lists this microRNA (16 nucleotides) under Macrophomina phaseolina MS6. RNAcentral describes it as "miR-4266". The record is from RNAcentral. Lineage: Eukaryota; Fungi; Ascomycota; Dothideomycetes; Botryosphaeriales; Botryosphaeriaceae.
UUGAGGAGGCCUUGGC